RNAcentral lists this ribosomal RNA (253 nucleotides) under uncultured bacterium. RNAcentral's name for it is "partial 16S ribosomal RNA". It matches the Rfam family "Bacterial small subunit ribosomal RNA", at positions 524 to 776 of the family's 1533-position model. The record is from RNAcentral.
UACGUAGGGUGCAGGCGUUAAUCGGAAUUACUGGGCGUAAAGCGUGCGCAGGCGGUCUCUUAAGACAGGUGUGAAAGCCCCGGGCUCAACCUGGGAACUGCGCUUGAUACGGGAUGGCUAGAGAUCGGGAGAGGAGAGUGGAAUUCCCAGUGUAGAGGUGAAAUUCGUAGAUAUUGGGAAGAACACCGGUGGCGAAGGCGGCUCUCUGGACCGAUACUGACGCUGAGGCGCGAAAGCGUGGGGAGCAAACAGG